GGGGUUGUGGCUCAGCGGUAGAGCACUCGCCUCGAACAUGUGAGGCCCUGGGUUCAAUCCGCAGCACCA
Molecule: transfer RNA, 69 nt
Filed under: Ictidomys tridecemlineatus (thirteen-lined ground squirrel)
Lineage: Eukaryota; Metazoa; Chordata; Mammalia; Rodentia; Sciuridae
Description: Spermophilus tridecemlineatus (thirteen-lined ground squirrel) tRNA
Rfam family: tRNA
About the family: Transfer RNA (tRNA) molecules are approximately 80 nucleotides in length. Their secondary structure includes four short double-helical elements and three loops (D, anti-codon, and T loops). Further hydrogen bonds mediate the characteristic L-shaped molecular structure. tRNAs have two regions of fundamental functional importance: the anti-codon, which is responsible for specific mRNA codon recognition, and the 3' end, to which the tRNAs corresponding amino acid is attached (by aminoacyl-tRNA synthetases). tRNAs cope with the degeneracy of the genetic code in two manners: having more than one tRNA (with a specific anti-codon) for a particular amino acid; and 'wobble' base-pairing, i.e. permitting non-standard base-pairing at the 3rd anti-codon position.
Source: Rfam by way of RNAcentral